GACGAACGCUGGCGGCGUGCUUAACACAUGCAAGUCGAACGGAAAGGCCCUGCUUUUGUGGGGUGCUCGAGUGGCGAACGGGUGAGUAACACGUGAGUAACCUGCCCUUGACUUUGGGAUAACUUCAGGAAACUGGGGCUAAUACCGGAUAGGAGCUCCUGCUGCAUGGUGGGGGUUGGAAAGUUUCGGCGGUUGGGGAUGGACUCGCGGCUUAUCAGCUUGUUGGUGGGGUAGUGGCUUACCAAGGCUUUGACGGGUAGCCGGCCUGGGAGGGUGACCGGCCACAUUGGGACUGAGAUACGGCCCAGACUCCUACGGGAGGCAGCAGUGGGGAAUAUUGCACAAUGGGCGGAAGCCUGAUGCAGCAACGCCGUGUGCGGGAUGACGGCCUUCGGGUUGUAAACCGCUUUCGCCUGUGACGAAGCGUGAGUGACGGUAAUGGGUAAAGAAGCACCGGCUAACUACGU
RNAcentral lists this ribosomal RNA (467 nucleotides) under uncultured bacterium. RNAcentral's name for it is "partial 16S ribosomal RNA". It matches the Rfam family "Bacterial small subunit ribosomal RNA", at positions 28 to 506 of the family's 1533-position model. The record is from RNAcentral.